Molecule: non-coding RNA, 133 nt
Organism: Triticum aestivum (bread wheat)
Lineage: Eukaryota; Viridiplantae; Streptophyta; Magnoliopsida; Poales; Poaceae
Source: Rfam
CAACUACUUCCUGUCCCAAAUUUCUUUUCUUAGAUUUGUCUAGAUACGGAUGUAUCUAAUACUAAAAUGUGACUUGAUACAUCUGUAUCUAGAAAAAUCUAAGACAAGAAUUUUGGGACGGAGGGAGUACUUU